Molecule: ribosomal RNA, 484 nt
Filed under: uncultured bacterium
Lineage: Bacteria
Description: partial 16S ribosomal RNA
Rfam family: Bacterial small subunit ribosomal RNA
Source: RNAcentral
GACGAACGCUGGCGGCGUGCUUAACACAUGCAAGUCGAACGAUUAACCCGGAGCUUGCUCCGGUGGAUUAGUGGCGAACGGGUGAGUAACACGUGAGUAACCUGCCCUUGACUCUGGGAUAACUGCGGGAAACUGUAGCUAAUACCGGAUUCGACCCGCCGCGCCAUCGCCAGGGGCCGGUAAGGAUUUCGGUCAAGGAUGGACUCGCGGCCUAUCAGCUGGUUGGUGAGGUAACGGCCCACCAAGGCGAGGGCGGGUAGCCCGCCCGAGAGGGUGACCGGCCACACUGGGACUGAGACACGGCCCAGACUCCCACGGGAGGCAGCAGUGGGGAAUAUUGCACAAAGGGCGCAAGCCUGAUGCAGCAACGCCGCGUGGGGGAUGACGGCCUUCGGGUUGUAAACCUCUUUUAGUAGGGAAGAAGCGAAAGUGACGGUACCUGCAGAAAAAGCACCGGCUAACUACGUGCCAGCCGCCGCUGUAA